CGUAGUCAACAUGCCCAGGGGACGUGGAUAACCUCGGGAAACUGAGGAUAAACCACGAUAAGUCACUACUUCUGGAAUGGGUAAUGACUCAAAUCUACAUGGCCCCUGGAUUGGACUGCGGCCGAUCAGGCUGUUGGUGAGGUAAUGGCCCACCAAACCUGUAACCGGUACGGGCUCUGAGAGGAGGAGCCCGGAGAUGGGCACUGAGACAAGGGCCCAGGCCCUAUGGGGCGCAGCAGGCGCGAAACCUCUGCAAUAGGCGAAAGCCUGACAGGGUUACUCUGAGUGAUUUCCGUUAAGGAGAUCUUUUGGCACCUCUAAAAAUGGUGCAGAAUAAGGGGUGGGCAAGUCUGGUGUCAGCCGCCGCGGUAAUACCAGCACCCCGAGUGGUCGGGACGUUUAUUGGGCCUAAAGCAUCCGUAGCCGGUUCUACAAGUCUUCCGUUAAAUCCACCUGCUUAACAGAUGGGCUGCGGAAGAUACUAUGGAGCUAGGAGGCGGGAGAGGCAAGCGGUACUCGAUGGGUAGGGGUAAAAUCCGUUGAUCCAUUGAAGACCACCAGUGGCGAAGGCGGCUUGCCAGAACGCGCUCGACGGUGAGGGAUGAAAGCUGGGGGAGCAAACCGGAUUAGAUACCCGGGUAGUCCCAGCUGU
Molecule: ribosomal RNA, 652 nt
Filed under: uncultured archaeon
Lineage: Archaea
Description: bacterial SSU rRNA
Rfam family: Archaeal small subunit ribosomal RNA
Source: RNAcentral